This is a long non-coding RNA of Hippopotamus amphibius kiboko, 1645 nucleotides long. RefSeq lists it as uncharacterized. NCBI's taxonomy places the organism in Eukaryota, Metazoa, Chordata, Mammalia, Artiodactyla, Hippopotamidae. The transcript has 3 exons. The record is from RefSeq and is a predicted model, not a curated record.
GGCGUCGCGCGCGAGAUGCUGAGGGCGGGGCGCGCGCGCAGAGGGACGGCCCGAGGGGCGCGGACGCCGGGCUGUGGAGGGAAGGGCGGGCGCGCGCCGGGAGUAGCCGUGGGCCGCCCUCAAGGCCGAGGGCUGGGGUGCGUGGUACGACGGGCGCCAACGGGAGAAAGCUGAAUGAACAUUUGAGGGACUUCCUAGGUGGCACAGUGGGUAAGAAUCCGCCUGCCAAUGCAGGGGACACGGGUUCAAUCCCUGGUCCAAGAAGAUCCCACAUGCUGUGGAGCAACUAAGCCCGUGCACCGCAACUGUUGAGCCUGCGCUCUAGAGCCCAUGAGCCACAACUAUGGAGACCAUGUGCCGCAACUACUGAAGCCCACAUGCUUAGAGCCCGUGCUCUGCAACAAGAGAGGCCACCACAGUGAGAAGCCCACACACCACAAUGAAGAGUAGCCCCUGCUCGCCGCAACUGGAAAAAGCCCACGUGCAGCAAUGAAAACUCAACACAGCCAAUAAAAUAAAUAAAUAAUAAUUUUUAAAAAAAAGAGUGAGCAUUUGAGGUAUGGAGACCCUGAGGCCCAGCUGGGAUCCCAGGGAUGCAGGGAGGGUCCCAGCGAGAACGGCUCAAGAUGCCUUCCCUUGGCAUCCAUGUCAGUGCAGCUCAGGAAGCUGCCCAAGAGCACACAAGGGGGGUCCAAACCCAGCGCGAAUACAGGACUCGCCCCACAGGGCACCCACAGGCCCUCAGCAAGGAGCAUGUGCCCCACAGAAGGCUGUGCUGUGCUCACCAGAACUGGAGAGGCCACCUGGAAACACUUUUUUUCCAGCCUUUAGAAGAUGCUUGCACUUUCUAGAAAAUAUAUAUUGUAUAUAUGUAUAUAUUUUAUAUGUAAAAAUAUAAAUACGCACACCUACUCAGGUGUCUCCCUUGAAACUGUGGUGCGUGCACACAGACAUUCUCAUCUGAAACGGAGAGCACUUGGCUCAGGGGCAGAGCCACCUGUUUGGGAAAUCAGCAGCUGUGGUUUGUCUUACCCCUUAGGUUUCAGAUCUGCUCAGCCUGUGAUGCACAAGGCUCCCCUGGGCUUUGAUGUCAGAUAAACUCGAGGUGCCCUGUCCUUCUCUCAGGUCCCCGCAGCCUCAGCUCCUCCAUCUCUGGCUGCCCAGCACAAGAUGCAAAGUGCCCAGAGCAGCUCAGCACCAGUGGACAAAAACACCUUUAAGGAGCUCCAGCCUAGAAGGAGCUGACAGAUCCACCCUUUUAAAUUUUACACUCAGUGUGCGAGUAUAUUGAGCAUGAAUCGUAUUCACUUAUCACCCAAGUGAGAAAACAUGGAUCUUUUAAAAACCUAUCAAAUGUAAUCUUUUCCUAAGACCUCAUCUAUACAAAGACGUGAUUACUAGUUGGACCAAUCUUUCAAGACCUUUCUUUAUGAUUACUUAUUUCCUGAAAUGUCUUAUUUUUUAUUAAAAUAGCAUGUGUUAAUUGCACAAAAUUUAGAAGGAAAUAUCAAGGUGAAAGAAGAAAUUUUUUAAGUAAUCCAUAACCCGUCAGGUAUAGUGACAACCGCUGCGCAUGUUUCAGUUUUUCUCAUUCAUUUUGUGUGGAUACACACAUACAUAAAUAAAUAUGUGCAAAUAUGGGAUG